RNAcentral lists this ribosomal RNA (700 nucleotides) under uncultured bacterium. Its description in RNAcentral is "bacterial SSU rRNA". It matches the Rfam family "Bacterial small subunit ribosomal RNA", at positions 28 to 762 of the family's 1533-position model. The record is from RNAcentral.
AACGAACGCUGGCGGCAUGCCUAACACAUGCAAGUCGAACGGGAUCCUGGUUUCGGCCAGGUGAGAGUGGCGGACGGGUGAGUAACACGUGGGAAUCUGCCCUUUGGUCUGGGAUAGCCGCGGGAAACUGCGGCUAAUACCGGAUGCCCUCGCGAGAGGAAAGAUUUAUCGCCAGAGGAGGAGCCCGCGUCCGAUUAGGUAGUUGGUGGGGUAAAGGCCUACCAAGCCGACGAUCGGUAGCUGGUCUGAGAGGAUGAUCGGCCACACUGGGACUGAGAUACGGCCCAGACUCCUACGGGAGGCAGCAGUGGGGAAUAUUGGACAAUGGGGGCAACCCUGAUCCAGCAAUGCCGCGUGAGUGAUGAAGGCCUUAGGGUUGUAAAGCUCUUUUGCCAGGGAAGAUGAUGACGGUACCUGGAGAAUAAGCCCCGGCUAACUUCGUGCCAGCAGCCGCGGUAAUACGAAGGGGGUCUAGCGUUGUUCGGAAUUACUGGGCGUAAAGGGCGCGUAGGCGGCCGUUUAAGUUAGAUGUGAAAGUCCUGGGCUCAACCUGGGGACUGCAUUUAAUACUGGAUGGCUUGAAUUCGGGAGAGGAUAGCGGAAUUCCCCAGUGUAGAGGUGAAAUUCGUAGAUAUUGGGAAGAACACCGGUGGCGAAGGCGGCUAUCUGGACCGACAUUGACGCUGAGGCGCGAAAGCGU